This 397-nucleotide ribosomal RNA is filed under the name uncultured bacterium. Its description in RNAcentral is "bacterial SSU rRNA". It matches the Rfam family "Bacterial small subunit ribosomal RNA", at positions 66 to 464 of the family's 1533-position model. The record is from RNAcentral.
GCAGCACGGAGAGCUUGCUCUCUGGUGGCGAGUGGCGAACGGGUGAGUAAUACAUCGGAACGUGUCCAAUAAUGGGGGAUAACGAGUCGAAAGAUUCGCUAAUACCGCAUACGCCCUACGGGGGAAAGCAGGGGACCGUAAGACCUUGCGUUAAUGGAGCGGCCGAUAUCUGAUUAGCUUGUUGGUGAGGUAAAGGCUCACCAAGGCGACGAUCAGUAGCUGGUUUGAGAGAACGACCAGCCACACUGGAACUGAGACACGGUCCAGACUCCUACGGGAGGCAGCAGUGGGGAAUUUUGGACAAUGGGGGCAACCCUGAUCCACCCAUUCCGCGUGAGUGAAGAAGGCCUUCGGGUUGUAAANCUCUUUCGCAAGGGAANAAAACUUAUGAUCGAAU